This 465-nucleotide ribosomal RNA is filed under the name uncultured bacterium. RNAcentral's name for it is "partial 16S ribosomal RNA". It matches the Rfam family "Bacterial small subunit ribosomal RNA", at positions 28 to 507 of the family's 1533-position model. The record is from RNAcentral.
GACGAACGCUGGCGGCGUGCUUAACACAUGCAAGUCCAACGGAAAGGCCCCUUUGGGGGUACUCUAGUGGCGAACGGGUGAGUAACACUUGAGUAACCUGCCCUUGACUUCGGGAUAACUUCAGGAAACUGGGGCUAAUACCGGAUAGGAAUCCUUGCUGCAUGGUGGGGGUUGGAAAGCUUCGGCGGUUUUGUCUGUACUCGCGGCUUAUCUGCUUGUUGGUGGGGUAGUGGCUUACCAAGGCUUUGACGGGUAGCCGGCCUGAGAGGGCGACCGGCCACAUUGGGACUGAGAGACGGCCCAGACUCCUACGGGAGGCAGAAGUGGGGAAUAUUGCACAAGGGGCGGAAGCCUGAUGCAGCAACGCCGCGUGCGGGAUGACGGCCUUCGGGUUGUAAACCGCUUGCAGCAGGGGCGAAGCUUGUGGUGACGGUACCUGCAGAAGAAGCACCGGCUAACUACGUG